RNAcentral lists this small RNA (118 nucleotides) under Hyunsoonleella jejuensis. RNAcentral describes it as "Flavo-1 RNA". It matches the Rfam family "Flavo-1 RNA". Lineage: Bacteria; Pseudomonadati; Bacteroidota; Flavobacteriia; Flavobacteriales; Flavobacteriaceae. The record is from Rfam by way of RNAcentral.
GUUUCGCGUUAGGGAUUGCAGCGGCAUCCUUUUUUAUGUCAGUUCGAGUGUUUUGUGAAGCAUGAGCAAAACGUAUCGAGAACGCAUAAAAAAGAUAUAGCGAAAAGCCCGACCCGAG